UCCAGACUCCUACGGGAGGCAGCAGUGGGGAAUAUUGCACAAUGGGGGAAACCCUGAUGCAGCGACGCCGCGUGAGCGAAGAAGUAUUUCGGUAUGUAAAGCUCUAUCAGCAGGGAAGAAAAAAAUGACGGUACCUGAGUAAGAAGCACCGGCUAAAUACGUGCCAGCAGCCGCGGUAAUACGUAUGGUGCAAGCGUUAUCCGGAUUUACUGGGUGUAAAGGGAGCGUAGACGGCCAGGCAAGCCUGGAGUGAAAGCCCGGGGCCCAACCUCGGGACUGCUCUGGGAACUGUCCGGCUGGAGUGCGGGAGGGGCAGGCGGAAUUCCUGGUGUAGCGGUGAAAUGCGUAGAUAUCAGGAGGAACACCAGUGGCGAAGGCGGCUUACUGGACAGUAACUGACGUUGAGGCUCGAAAGCGUGGGGAGCAAACAGGAUUAGAUACCCCUGUA
This 448-nucleotide ribosomal RNA is filed under the name uncultured bacterium. Its description in RNAcentral is "bacterial SSU rRNA". It matches the Rfam family "Bacterial small subunit ribosomal RNA", at positions 330 to 792 of the family's 1533-position model. The record is from RNAcentral.